AGUAGAAAUGUCAAAGUGGUUUAUGGAAUUGUUAAAGUUAAAUUGGAAAAUAAAAUAAUUGUAAAAAGAACUCAUCGACAGUUAGUUUAUUAUAACCUACAAACUUCUAAAAUGUCUGAAGAAACAAAUUCAAACAAAACAAUUAAAACCGAACCGAUUGAUGAUUAUCCUCAAGUGAAA
Long non-coding RNA from Ctenocephalides felis (cat flea), 180 nucleotides. RefSeq lists it as uncharacterized. NCBI's taxonomy places the organism in Eukaryota, Metazoa, Arthropoda, Insecta, Siphonaptera, Pulicidae. The transcript is spliced from 2 exons. The record is from RefSeq and is a predicted model, not a curated record.